Vespula vulgaris is the source of this 2429-nucleotide long non-coding RNA. RefSeq lists it as uncharacterized. Lineage: Eukaryota; Metazoa; Arthropoda; Insecta; Hymenoptera; Vespidae. The record is from RefSeq and is a predicted model, not a curated record. The transcript has 2 exons.
CAGUACGACUGUCGUACUAUGUACAUACAUCUAUACAUACCACCUAUUUUACGUAUCUGAUAAAGCACGCUCGGUCCCGCCAUGAAUUUUGCACAACACGACGCAAUGUGUUCCGUGCCAUCUUGUGACAGAAUUAUGCAAUAUGUCUGAUACGAGCGAUCUCUUUUCUUCGAUUAGAUGUGGGAUGUUAACCUCUUGCGUUUCAUAUAUUUGUUUAACAGCCAUAGCAAACUAUUCUAAACAAUUUUCUAUAAAAGAUCAGAUUCACAUAUUACCAUAAUAUCAAUGAAUAUAUACCAAAUAAUACAUUAUUUUAAUACAUAAAUAUAAUUCUUUUCUACACUUUUUAAUAACAAUUUAUAACAACAACUAAAUUGUUUCUCCGAAGAUAAACUAAUAUCGAUCAGUACGAUUGCUGGGGAAAACAAUAACCACCAUUUCAAUAUCAUCAUUAAUGAUGUGACGAAGUUCACGUAAGUAUGUAUCAGUUCUAUCAUCUUUUAAAGAAAUUUCGCGGGGACUGCUAAUUUGUAGACCUAAAUUUAAUGAAAUAUCAAGGAGCAUUUUGAUGAAUGCUGUAGUGUAUUUUGUAUCUCGCUGAGAAUAAAAAAUACACCAAUUUGUCAAACUCGGCUGUAAUGAGUUUUUUUUAUUAAAAAUUUUGCAGUAAAUUAUGUUGUAAUAAAUUUGUAGCAAUCAUACUCACAGCACGUAAAGCAUGAUUAUUAACCAUUUCAAUAUUCCAUUCAGCAUUUGGUUUUCCUUGUAUCAUCUUAUUCUUACCAAAAUAUAUACGUUCAGGCAUUAGAACACGUCCUUUCAAAUGAGUUAAAUCAUUAUCGAGCUGUAAACCCCACGCAGAUAAUAUUUCUUGUGUUACGCUAUUUUUUUUUAUUUCUUGUAAAAAAUUCCUUAUUAUAUCACGGCGACUGUUAGGAGAAACUUUUGUAAUUGUAUUAAGAUCUUUCAUAAUUCUACAGUCUGAUCUGAUACUAUCCGUUAAUCCAGCGACAUAACAUAAUUCAGGUACUAGAAGUGUAAGUUUUUCGUGUGUCUGAAAAAAAUUCCUUUUAUUGUCCAAUUUUCUUAUACUCGUAAUUAUUAUAACAACAAGGAAUAUAAAAUAUCUAAUAAAUGAAAAAUAUAUGUACCUGCCCAGUAGAUAAUUUUUCUUUAGAACGAUGUACUAAAAGUGGCUGGGUUUUAUCUUUAAUUUCCAAACUCCAAUGAUUUUUAUAAUAAUCUAUUAUAGUCGUUUUUAUACCUUGUCUCUCAAAUUGAAACAUUGGAUUUUUGUCCCAUGCAAUGUCAUCAAUACGAUAAGUCUUAUUAUUAUAUCGAGUUAGAACACUAGACCCAACAACUUCCAUUGUUAUAUAAUCUUUGUAAUGCUGUUGGUUCUUUUUAUGAAUUUCAAUCCUAAAAAAUAAAUAUUUAUCUUCACAUUAUGUGAAUAUUACGUAUAUAUAUGUAAUCUUUACAAAACUACAUGUAUAGUUUUGUAAGUUUUGUAAUUUAUAUGAUAGCUUAGUAUAUAAAAUAGAUAAAAAAUAAAAAAAUUCCUAUAAAUAUAUAUUUAAAAAUAUCUAGAAGCUAAAAGAAAAUUGUAACUUUAUGAUAGAACAGUAUUAUUUAUAUUUACUAUUAAUAUUGUAUUUGUAAUAAAAUAUUUUUACAUAUAUAUAUAUAGGAAUUUAUUCUAAUAUCCUGUAAAUAUAUAUAUAUACACACAUGCUCUUACAUCAAAUCUCGAACUGUUUCCAUACGCAUAACUCGAUGUUUUGCAUCAAUGCAAAGUUUUAAUCCACUUUCAUAUUCAUUAAUAGCUGUAACAUAACCAGGCCACACUUCUAAUUGGUGCUGUGGUACAGUAUGAGCACAUGCAGGAUUAAAAUUUUGUCUGCCGAUACGAACUAAAUUAAGAGCUCUCAUAAUACGUCCAAAAAGAACAUUAAAAAAUUGGACACUUUCACUCAUCUUUUCUUUCUUUUUAAAAAUAAGAGUAAGGAUCACUGGAGACCCAUCUAAUGGAUGAUUAGAUUUGUACACUAUUUUCUGAAAGUAUUUUCACAUUUUAUAUAUAUUAUUAUAUUUGAAAUUGUAAUUUUUAAGAGAUUUUACCUCUUGUGGAAAUUUGUGAGGUAAAUAUAAAAGAACUCCAUCGAAACUUAAGGUGUGUCCAAGUUUAGCUGCAUGCUGAUUCAAAAGUUUUCUUCUCAGAGCUCUUGAAUCAAUAUCAGGAUUGAAUUUAACUUCAUAUUGGAAUAAUCCCCUUCCUGGAUCUAGUUUUAAAUCGAUGUAAUUAGCAAAUAUAUCUACCCUAAACAUAAAAUAUAAUAACUUGUAAAAGAUAAUGAUUAAUACCUUUAUUAGUAUAGAUUUUUUAAUAAUGUAACAAUAUUUAAAUAAUAAAUCAAAUAUUAAAAAUA